CAGCAGCCGCGGUAAUACAGAGGGUGCGAGCGUUAAUCGGAUUUACUGGGCGUAAAGCGUGCGUAGGCGGCUUUUUAAGUCGGAUGUGAAAUCCCUGAGCUUAACUUAGGAAUUGCAUUCGAUACUGGGAAGCUAGAGUAUGGGAGAGGAUGGUAGAAUUCCAGGUGUAGCGGUGAAAUGCGUAGAGAUCUGGAGGAAUACCGAUGGCGAAGGCAGCCAUCUGGCCUAAUACUGACGCUGAGGUACGAAAGCAUGGGGAGCAAACAGGAUUAGAGACCCCAGUAGUCCCUGUCUCUUAUAC
Molecule: ribosomal RNA, 301 nt
Filed under: uncultured bacterium
Lineage: Bacteria
Description: partial 16S ribosomal RNA
Rfam family: Bacterial small subunit ribosomal RNA
Source: RNAcentral